This 334-nucleotide unclassified non-coding RNA is filed under the name fungal sp. RNAcentral describes it as "partial internal transcribed spacer region". The stretch from base 1 to 46 matches the Rfam family "Eukaryotic small subunit ribosomal RNA", at positions 1786 to 1831 of the family's 1831-position model. Lineage: Eukaryota; Fungi. The record is from RNAcentral.
AAGUCGUAACAAGGUUUCCGUAGGUGAACCUGCGGAAGGAUCAUUACCAAAUCCAAAAUCCUUCAACCCCUUGUGAACUAUGAUUUAAUUUAUUGUUUGUCUUUGGGGAGUUUGUUUUAAAUAUCAAAUUAAAAAUUUUGUUUGAAAGAAUAGAAUUUUUAUUUUAAAUGUAUUUACUUACUACUCCCCAAAAGAGUUCCCUCCCUCCACUCUUUCAGGGUGUGGGAGAAAAACUCACCCAUGUUUAAACUACUUUUUAUAAACUUUUUUUUUUGGAAUGCUUUUAUUUUUACUAAUAAAAGACAACUUUUAACGGUGGAUCUCUUGGCUCGUG